This 87-nucleotide transfer RNA is filed under the name Mucilaginibacter phyllosphaerae. RNAcentral describes it as "tRNA-Leu". It matches the Rfam family "tRNA". Rfam says of the family: Transfer RNA (tRNA) molecules are approximately 80 nucleotides in length. Their secondary structure includes four short double-helical elements and three loops (D, anti-codon, and T loops). The record is from RNAcentral. Lineage: Bacteria; Pseudomonadati; Bacteroidota; Sphingobacteriia; Sphingobacteriales; Sphingobacteriaceae.
GCCCGGGUGGCGAAAUUGGUAGACGCACCAUCUUGAGGGGGUGGCAUUCGUAAGGAUGUACGAGUUCGAAUCUCGUCUCGGGCACAA